RNAcentral lists this ribosomal RNA (460 nucleotides) under uncultured bacterium. RNAcentral's name for it is "partial 16S ribosomal RNA". It matches the Rfam family "Bacterial small subunit ribosomal RNA", at positions 338 to 795 of the family's 1533-position model. The record is from RNAcentral.
CCUACGGGGGGCAGCAGUGAGGAAUAUUGGUCAAUGGACGAGAGUCUGAACCAGCCAAGUAGCGUGAAGGAUGACUGCCCUAUGGGUUGUAAACUUCUUUUAUAUGGGAAUAAAACGUUCCACGUGUGGGAUUUUGUAUGUACCAUAUGAAUAAGGAUCGGCUAACUCCGUUCCAGCAGCCGCGGUAAUACGGAGGAUCCGAGCGUUAUCCGGAUUUAUUGGGUUUAAGGGGAGCGUAGGUGGAUUGUUAAGUCAGUUGUGAAAGUUUGCGGCUCAACCGUAAAAUUGCAGUUGAAACUGGCAGUCUUGAGUACAGUAGAGGUGGGCGGAAUUCGUGGUGUAGCGGUGAAAUGCUUAGAUAUCACGAAGAACUCCGAUUGCGAAGGCAGUUCACUGGACUGCAACUGACACUGAGGCUCGAAAGUGUGGGUAUCAAACAGGAUUAGAUACCCUUGUAGUC